UUCAAAUGGUUUUGCCAGAUAAAGGAUACACAAAAUAGAUUGAAGAUAUUAAGGAGAAUGACUGUGUCGGGGAUUUCCUUAUGGAAUAUAAAUAUGAAAAGUUAAAUUGAAAUCUACAUUCACGUGGAGAACUCUGGAGAAAUUCUCACCUAAGGGUCCUCUGAAGAAUCUAGGAUCACAUGAACUGGGUUAAAUCAUGAGUUCCUCACCUUGAUCAGAUUCUCUCCGGUCA
Non-coding RNA from Phascolarctos cinereus (koala), 232 nucleotides. Lineage: Eukaryota; Metazoa; Chordata; Mammalia; Diprotodontia; Phascolarctidae. The record is from RefSeq and is a predicted model, not a curated record.